GGGCAAUGAGGAGGAACAAAGUCAUGCACCACUCUGAUAUUGAUUUUAUCAAUCUGUGCUGAUACACGACUCUAAACCCAUAUCUUAUCUGAGCCC
Small nucleolar RNA from Rhododendron vialii, 96 nucleotides. RefSeq annotates it as small nucleolar RNA Z221/R21b. The transcript has a single exon. The record is from RefSeq and is a predicted model, not a curated record. Lineage: Eukaryota; Viridiplantae; Streptophyta; Magnoliopsida; Ericales; Ericaceae.